GACCUGGUAGUCUAGUGGUUAGACCGCCUGACCAUAUUUGCACGCGUACUCUUCAUCUUUCGAGGGGCAGGCGGGCACAGGCACCGCAGGCGCUCGGGUUCGACUCCCGGCCAGGUCG
Molecule: transfer RNA, 118 nt
Filed under: Marasmius sp. AFHP31
Lineage: Eukaryota; Fungi; Basidiomycota; Agaricomycetes; Agaricales; Marasmiaceae
Description: tRNA-Tyr
Rfam family: tRNA
About the family: Transfer RNA (tRNA) molecules are approximately 80 nucleotides in length. Their secondary structure includes four short double-helical elements and three loops (D, anti-codon, and T loops). Further hydrogen bonds mediate the characteristic L-shaped molecular structure. tRNAs have two regions of fundamental functional importance: the anti-codon, which is responsible for specific mRNA codon recognition, and the 3' end, to which the tRNAs corresponding amino acid is attached (by aminoacyl-tRNA synthetases). tRNAs cope with the degeneracy of the genetic code in two manners: having more than one tRNA (with a specific anti-codon) for a particular amino acid; and 'wobble' base-pairing, i.e. permitting non-standard base-pairing at the 3rd anti-codon position.
Source: RNAcentral